This 220-nucleotide unclassified non-coding RNA is filed under the name Hevea brasiliensis (rubber tree). The record is from RNAcentral. Lineage: Eukaryota; Viridiplantae; Streptophyta; Magnoliopsida; Malpighiales; Euphorbiaceae.
UACCCAUUGCACUUGAGGUCCUUGUUGAUUGUGGCAAGACUCCGCCGCCGGGGUUCCAGUGUCCUGCCUAAACAAGUGUACUGUUUGAUGCGAAGCUCUAGUCACUUUUGCCAAAGAAUAACUUGGGAAUGUCUUAAUUUCUCACACUGUCUAGUAAACGGACAAACAUUUUAGGAACUGUUAAUUUGUGUUUGUUCUAAAGAAUAUAUGCUGAUUAAUC